CCUGCCCUCAAGGAGCUUACACAGAAGCAACCUCACAAGAAGCACCUGCCAGGGAGCCAUAAGGACCUGGGUUCUAAUUCUAGCUCUGCCAACUGCUCGCUGUGUGACCCUGGGCAAGUCACUUAACUUCUCUGUGACUCAGUUUCCUCAAGUGUAAAAGGGUCCCACCUGUUCUCCCUCCUGCUGAGACUGUGCACCUCAUGUGGGGCAAGGACUGUGUCUAACCUAAUUAACUUGUUCCUACCGCAGAGCUUUGAACUUAACACUUAAAAAAAAAUUUUUUUAAAGAUACGACUGGUGACACAGAGAGAUGAAGGAAAAUAUCCUUCAAACCUGAAGCUAUUUCUAGUCUUUCAGUUCUGUUUGAAUAAUUCCACCCUUCCAAGUUCCAGAAAUUUGGGGAUGGGCAUUCCUGUUCAUUUACUUUGAACUUGGCCUGCAACUGGGGAGUCCUGAGGUGUUUCGGCCCUACCACUGUUCUAACCUGUCACUUUGACAAACCACCAAACCACCCGAUGACAUUGAGCCACUGAAGAAGCCGGGGAGGUGGAGAUGAUUCCACAGCUCAGAUAGCAUUUAACUGAGCAGAAGCUUCAAAGAUUUUUUUUUUUUUAAAAUGGUAUUUGUUAAGUAUUUACCCACGCACGUCACUCCCCUUAACUGCCAACCUACUCAAUGUACUUCCAUCUCGUCUCUCUCACCGCCGACCUCUCGCCCACGUCCUACCUCCGGUCUGGAACACCUCUCUUCAUAACCGAUAGACAAUUUCUCUCCCAUCCUUCAAAACCUUACUGAAGGCACAUCUCCUUCAAGAAGCCUUCCCUGAAUAAGCCCUUAUUUCCUUUUCUCCCACUCCCUUCUGCAUCACCUAGACCUACUUCCUUUAUUCACCAGUCCCACAUAGCACUUAUGUACAUAUCUGUAAUUUAUUUAUUUAUAUUAAUUUCUGUCUCCCCGCCAGACUGUAAUCUCGUUGCGAGCAGGGAACGUGCUUGUUAUAUUGUACUUUCCCAAGUGCUUAGUACACAGUAAAUGCUCAAUGACUACAAUUGACUGAUUGAUUGAUAUUUAUAGGGUUCCUUCACUUUAUCUCUU
This 1095-nucleotide long non-coding RNA is filed under the name Ornithorhynchus anatinus (platypus). Its description in RNAcentral is "lncRNA (ENSOANG00000036500.1)". The record is from RNAcentral. Lineage: Eukaryota; Metazoa; Chordata; Mammalia; Monotremata; Ornithorhynchidae.